RNAcentral lists this ribosomal RNA (165 nucleotides) under Amomum petaloideum. RNAcentral's name for it is "5.8S ribosomal RNA". The stretch from base 1 to 138 matches the Rfam family "5.8S ribosomal RNA", at positions 19 to 154 of the family's 154-position model. From Rfam's summary of the family: 5.8S ribosomal RNA (5.8S rRNA) is a component of the large subunit of the eukaryotic ribosome. It is transcribed by RNA polymerase I as part of the 45S precursor that also contains 18S and 28S rRNA. Functionally, it is thought that 5.8S rRNA may be involved in ribosome translocation. Lineage: Eukaryota; Viridiplantae; Streptophyta; Magnoliopsida; Zingiberales; Zingiberaceae. The record is from RNAcentral.
UCUCGGCUCUUGCAUCGAUGAAGAACGUAGUGAAAUGCGAUACUUGGUGUGAAUUGCAGAAUCUCGUGAACCAUUGAGUCUUUGAACGCAAGUUGUGCCCGAGGCCUUGUGGCCGAGGGCACGCCUGCUUGGGCGUCAUGGCAUCGUCGCCUUUGCUCCUUUCUU